This 226-nucleotide ribosomal RNA is filed under the name Brevibacterium sp. 239c. RNAcentral's name for it is "partial 16S rRNA. Bacterial SSU". It matches the Rfam family "Bacterial small subunit ribosomal RNA", at positions 1316 to 1533 of the family's 1533-position model. The record is from RNAcentral. Lineage: Bacteria; Bacillati; Actinomycetota; Actinomycetes; Micrococcales; Brevibacteriaceae.
CUACGUGAAGUCGGAGUCGCUAGUAAUCGCAGAUCAGCAACGCUGCGGUGAAUACGUUCCCGGGCCUUGUACACACCGCCCGUCAAGUCACGAAAGUCGGUAACACCCGAAGCCGGUGGCCCAACCCCCUUGUGGGGAGGGGGCCGUCUAAGGUGGGACUGGCAAUUGGGACUAAGUCGUAACAAGGUAGCCGUACCGGAAGGUGCGGCUGGAUCACCUCCUUUCU